RNAcentral lists this long non-coding RNA (279 nucleotides) under Lathyrus oleraceus (garden pea). Its description in RNAcentral is "Pisum sativum (pea) long non-coding RNA (PSAT_LNC021268)". The record is from RNAcentral. Lineage: Eukaryota; Viridiplantae; Streptophyta; Magnoliopsida; Fabales; Fabaceae.
UAAUAAAAACUUUGGCUGAUCCAUAGAUCGGCCCUCUCUGAGCCUUAAUCCACCCUUCAAACCCUUAAAUCCAAAAAAAUAUUACUAAAGUCGAACCCCACCAUUUUUUGAUAACCCUAACCCUUCUACCCUAAUUUACGAAGAAUAACAUCAAUAAACAGCAAACAAGCAUGCCAAUAAACUCAAAAUUAAAAAAAUAUCAAUGAUUCAAAUUAUUCAAGGAUACACCUACAAGAGCUUGGCUUCCCCCGGUCAACUAAAGGUAAAACUUCCUUUGAC